GCAUUAAUGGUUCAGUCAUAGAAUUCCUGCCUUCCAUGUGGGAGACCUGAGUUCGAUUCCCAGCCAAUACA
Molecule: transfer RNA, 71 nt
Filed under: Loxodonta africana (African savanna elephant)
Lineage: Eukaryota; Metazoa; Chordata; Mammalia; Proboscidea; Elephantidae
Rfam family: tRNA
About the family: Transfer RNA (tRNA) molecules are approximately 80 nucleotides in length. Their secondary structure includes four short double-helical elements and three loops (D, anti-codon, and T loops).
Source: Rfam by way of RNAcentral